UACGAAGGGGGCUAGCGUUGCUCGGACUCACUGGGCGUAAAGGGCGCGUAGGCGGCGUUUUAAGUCGGGGGUGAAAGCCUGUGGCUCAACCACAGAAUGGCCUUCGAUACUGGGACGCUUGAGUAUGGUAGAGGUUGGUGGAACUGCGAGUGUAGAGGUGAAAUUCGUAGAUAUUCGCAAGAACACCGGUGGCGAAGGCGGCCAACUGGACCAUUACUGACGCUGAGGCGCGAAAGCGUGGGGAGCAAACAGG
Molecule: ribosomal RNA, 253 nt
Filed under: uncultured bacterium
Lineage: Bacteria
Description: partial 16S ribosomal RNA
Rfam family: Bacterial small subunit ribosomal RNA
Source: RNAcentral